RNAcentral lists this ribosomal RNA (210 nucleotides) under uncultured bacterium. RNAcentral describes it as "partial 16S ribosomal RNA". It matches the Rfam family "Bacterial small subunit ribosomal RNA", at positions 1291 to 1500 of the family's 1533-position model. The record is from RNAcentral.
GUUCGGAUCGCAGCCUGCAACCCGGCUGCGUGAAGCUGGAAUCGCUAGUAAUCGCGGAUCAGAAUGCCGCGGUGAAUACGUUCCCGGGUCUUGUACACACCGCCCGUCACACCAUGGGAGCCGGAAACGCCCGAAGCCAGUGGCCUGACCGUAAGGAGGGAGCUGUCGAAGGCGGAUCCGGUGACCGGGGUGAAGUCGUAACAAGGUAGC